This 253-nucleotide ribosomal RNA is filed under the name uncultured bacterium. RNAcentral describes it as "partial 16S ribosomal RNA". It matches the Rfam family "Bacterial small subunit ribosomal RNA", at positions 524 to 776 of the family's 1533-position model. The record is from RNAcentral.
UACGGAGGGUGCAAGCGUUGCUCGGAAUUACUGGGCGUAAAGCGCGUGUAGGCGGUUUCGUGUGUCUGGUGUGAAAUCCCCGGGCUCAACCCGGGAAGUGCAUUGGAAACUGCGAGACUAGAGUCCCGGAGAGGAAGGUGGAAUUCCAGGUGUAGCGGUGAAAUGCGUAGAUAUCUGGAAGAACACCGGUGGCGAAGGCGGCCUUCUGGACGGUGACUGACGCUGAGACGCGAAAGCGUGGGGAGCAAACAGG